UUCAGGGGUAAACCUGAGAAACCCGAAAGGUCGAAAGGGGAAAUUCAUUCGCGUCUCGGAUAUCGGCGAUGAGCAGCCGCGUGACGGAUGGCGUUCGCGUUGUCCGCGCCUUCUGUUUUUCGAACCGGUGACGAACGCGUGCACUUUUCCCCUAGUAGGACGUCGCGAUCCGUUGGGUGUCGGUCUACGGCUCGCGGUGGAGUCCGUGUGCGAUCGUUUCGGCGAUUCGUGCUCGAACCCGCGAUGUUCCGGCCGACUCGCUCGACGGUAUACAGAUGGCGCGAGGCCGCUACGUUAAUUAGCGUCCGACCCACGGCAAGCGCGUUCGAUGCUAAGACGGCGAUCGGACCUAGUGCCGAUUCCGUUUCCGGACGACUGUUGGCCGUGUGGAUCUCUCGGACAGACCUCGUUCGAAACGCUGAUCUGCGACGCUAUAGCUUUGGGUACUUUCAGGACCCGUCUUGAAACA
RNAcentral lists this ribosomal RNA (469 nucleotides) under Callosobruchus maculatus (cowpea weevil). RNAcentral's name for it is "partial large subunit ribosomal RNA". The record is from RNAcentral. Lineage: Eukaryota; Metazoa; Arthropoda; Insecta; Coleoptera; Chrysomelidae.